UACAGAGGGUGCAAGCGUUAAUCGGAAUUACUGGGCGUAAAGCGUGCGCAGGCGGUUAUAUAAGACAGAUGUGAAAUCCCCGGGCUCAACCUGGGAACUGCAUUUGUGACUGUAUAGCUAGAGUACGGUAGAGGGGGAUGGAAUUCCGCGUGUAGCAGUGAAAUGCGUAGAUAUGCGGAGGAACACCGAUGGCGAAGGCAAUCCCCUGGACCUGUACUGACCCUCAUGCACGAAAGCGUGGGGAGCAAACAGG
RNAcentral lists this ribosomal RNA (253 nucleotides) under uncultured bacterium. RNAcentral's name for it is "partial 16S ribosomal RNA". It matches the Rfam family "Bacterial small subunit ribosomal RNA", at positions 524 to 776 of the family's 1533-position model. The record is from RNAcentral.